This 241-nucleotide unclassified non-coding RNA is filed under the name plant metagenome. RNAcentral's name for it is "partial contains small subunit ribosomal RNA, internal transcribed spacer 1, and 5.8S ribosomal RNA". The record is from RNAcentral.
UCUCCGUUGGUGAACCAGCGGAGGGAUCAUUACCGAGUUUUCUACUCCCAAACCCCUGUGAACUUAUACCUUUACCGUUGCUUCGGCGGGUUAACGCCCCGGAAAGGCCCCCGAAAGGGAGCCGCCCCGGAACCAGGCGCCCGCCGGGGGACCCAAACUCUUGUAUUCUCUUACCUAGCAUGUCUGAGUGGAAUCAUAAACAAAUGAAUCAAAACUUUCAACAACGGAUCUCUUGGUUCUG